RNAcentral lists this ribosomal RNA (253 nucleotides) under uncultured bacterium. RNAcentral describes it as "partial 16S ribosomal RNA". It matches the Rfam family "Bacterial small subunit ribosomal RNA", at positions 524 to 776 of the family's 1533-position model. The record is from RNAcentral.
UACGUAGGUGGCGAGCGUUGUUCGGAAUUACUGGGCGUAAAGCGCACGUAGGCGGACCGGACAGUCAGAGGUGAAAUCCCAGGGCUCAACCUUGGAACUGCCUUUGAAACUAUCGGUCUGGAGUUCGAGAGAGGUGAGUGGAAUUCCGAGUGUAGAGGUGAAAUUCGUAGAUAUUCGGAGGAACACCAGUGGCGAAGGCGGCUCACUGGCUCGAUACUGACGCUGAGGUGCGAAAGCGUGGGGAGCAAACAGG